Molecule: unclassified non-coding RNA, 213 nt
Filed under: fungal sp.
Lineage: Eukaryota; Fungi
Description: partial internal transcribed spacer region
Source: RNAcentral
GGGUUUCCCACCCGAUGCGACAAUGCGAUAGACCGCUGUAUUCGCGUCCGCGCCGAGCGGCAGAAACGUGACUUCGAGAAUCGCCAGCCUGUACUGCUCGCGCAGGCUGGCGAUGAUUUGUUCAUAAGUAAUCGCCGGAGGUUCGAGCAUCAGCGCAGCCGACUCCACGUCCCGUUAUCGCCGCCGGAGAAGCGGUAGAUCGCGCCGUCCGGG